RNAcentral lists this ribosomal RNA (407 nucleotides) under Verrucomicrobiota bacterium. RNAcentral describes it as "Verrucomicrobia bacterium partial 16S ribosomal RNA". It matches the Rfam family "Bacterial small subunit ribosomal RNA", at positions 355 to 776 of the family's 1533-position model. The record is from RNAcentral. Lineage: Bacteria; Pseudomonadati; Verrucomicrobiota.
UGGGGAAUAUUGGACAAUGGAGGAAACUCUGAUCCAGCAAUUCUGUGUGUGUGAAGAAGGUUUUAGGACUGUAAAACACUUUUAGUAGGGAAGAAAAAAAUGACGGUACCUACAGAAGAAGCAACGGCUAAAUACGUGCCAGCAGCCGCGGUAAUACGUAUGUUGCGAGCGUUAUCCGGAAUUAUUGGGCUUAAAGGGCAUCUAGGCGGUAAGACAAGUUGAAGGUGAAAACCUGUGGCUCAACCAUAGGCUUGCCUACAAAACUGUUGAACUAGAGUACUGGAAAGGUGGGUGGAACUACACGAGUAGAGGUGAAAUUCGUAGAUAUGUGUAGGAAUGCCGAUGAUGAAGAUAACUCACUGGACAGAAACUGACGCUGAAGUGCGAAAGCUAGGGAAGCAAACAGG